ACAAUGUUGUUCACUCAUCGAUGGUCUUGCUAAUCUUGAUGCUGCUGUGUGCCUUUGCACUGCCCUUAAAGCUAAUGUGUUGGGAAUCAACCUUAAUAUUCCUAUUAACUUGAGCUUGAUACUUAACAAUUGUGGAAAGGGUGUUCCAAAGGGCUUCGUAUGCGCUUAAUUACUAAUUAGAGACACCACUACUUUAUAUGGUUGUGUCACAAUUUUCUUAAUUAUAUUCUUCAUUAUAUAGUGUGUGGAUUUUGUACUCUUUUGGUACUUAAUUGUCAUUUUCUUAUGAAUAAUACUUUGUAAUGGUUUGAAAUUGCCAUGAAUAAUAUUGUUGUGAUGGUUUUAAAUUGAAGCAUUAAUUUGUCUUCCUUUUCAAUAUCAAUACAAAUGGUGGUUUGUAUAGUAUUUCGUCUACGUAAAAUUUCUAGUAUCAAUAAGUAUUCUACGUUUAUGCAAAGAUUUGUCAUUCAUUCUGUUAUUUUAUUUUUGGACCUUUCCCAAUUAGUUUUCAUUUAUGCAAUGAAGCAGUUCUUGAUAUUAAUGUGUUUUUUUUUUUUUUUUUACAGAAAAAUAAGUAUAAUUCGAAUGUUAAAUAAAAAUAGUAAAAUUAAAUUGAUUAUAAAUUAAAUAUUUUCCAUCCAUAUUUAAUGUUAAGAUUAAAUUUAAUGAGCUAAAAAGAUAAAAAUAUAACAAUUAUACACAUAAGUAUUUUAAAAGCAGACAAGCAGACGAGUAGUAAUCAAAUUAAAACUUUAAUUUUAAUUACCAAAUUUAUUUAUCUACCUAUAACCAAUUUUCAAAAAUAACAUAAGAUUACAGUAUGUAAUAUCAUACAUAUUUGUCUGUACCGUAUAGAAUAAAAAAAAAUUGUGUAGAAUUUUUUAUUUAUAUAUUACAAUUUUAAUUUUAUAAUUAGGAAUAUAUAAAAAAUUGCGAAAGAUAAAUAAACCAUUUCAAUUUGAUUUUCUGUUUUGAAAAUUUUGGGAUUUUUUCUUUAAUAUCCUUUUGUUUCAAUUUUUUUAUUUAAAUUCACUACUUCAAAAAGAAAAUACUAAUAUGUCGUGCUUUUUGGAUUUUAUAUAAAUGAUUAAAAAUAAAACAAAUAAACAAUUAAUAAUAAUAAUAUAAAAAUAAUUAAAAUUAGUAAAAAACAAUACAAAAUUUUAUAGAGGUUGAGUAGAGUUAUUCGUAAUAUAGAAUAAUAAUUUGAAUUUUGAUCGGAUAACCAAUCUAAUUUAAAUUGUGGAUCUUAUAUCACUUUUACGAAAAUGCAUAUAAGAAUCUUUCAUUUGGUUAUUUUUCGGUAUUCAUUUUAAAACAUUGCAAUAAGAAUUAUUAAUUUAAUUGUAAUAAAAAUAUGUUUACUUUUUAAGGUAGAAAAAUAUUAUUAUUAUUAUUAAUAUAAAUAGGGAUAAAUAUAUUUUUAAUUCUUAAUUUUUUUUAUAUUUCAAUUUUACUUGCUAUAAAAUAAAAAUAUAAUUUUAAUCCUUACAAAGUUGUCGAUCCGGUAAGUAGUUCUAAUCUCUGUUUAAACAAAAUAUACUUAAUUGUUUUUCAACUUUAAAAAUUUUAGAAUGACUUUUCACACGUAUGUUUAUAAUAUUAUAAAAAGCUAAGUUCAUCCGCAUAAAUUUUGAAUUUUUUUUAUCUUGGUAUAAUUAAAUAUAAAAUUUUUAAAUAUAAAAAAUCAAGAUAAAAUGAACAAAAAUAUAGAUUUAAAAAUCUAAUUUUGAGCUCAUAUUUUGUGGUACAAUAUUUUUUAUAUUGUUGUAAAUAUAAUCGCAAAAAUUCAUUUAAAAAUAUAUGUUGACUUAACAACCUAAACUAAAACUACGUGUUGAUGUAGCUAAAUAUCACUAGAAUGAGGGUUGAAUAGGGAUUUUGCUGUUUAAAAUAAUUUCCAAGUGUUUUAAAAACUAUCCUCUUGCAGAGGAUGGCAAUCCCGAGGAUGGGUUUUUCAAAACCUUCAGAUUUGAACUGAGCUAAAGAGUGAAAGAGAAAUAUAAGAUUGACACACACUGUUUUUAUACUGGUUCACCCAAAGAUGGCUACUUCCAGUCCUCACACCCUUGUGAGAUUUCACUAAUGUUCAAACAGAUCAACCUCUGACCGAGGAUGAUUACAACUUGUGUAUUCUCAAGCUUCACCAAGCUUACAAUCAGAUUUCAAAUGUUUCCAAGUGUAUCUCACGUGGAAAUUACAGUGUGAUAAGAGAGUGAUUGAUUCUAAAUACUUUCUCAAAAGAUUAACAAAGAUCUAAUGUAGGAUUUGUAGAAAGUAUGAAGAUAUAAUGGAUGUUGCUUCUUGAAAGCUUUAAGAUCUUUGAUCUUUUUUAAUGCAAAGUGUUGUGUGUUGAUGAAGAUCAGCUUGCUGCAAUUUAUAGAGGUCUUGUAAUGUUCAUUUCAUGUGUCAAGCCUUUUAUGACCGUUGGAAAAUCCAUUUGAGAAAUGCCAAAGUUUUUCUUCAUAUUUACGAAAAUACCAUUCAACUCAUUAGAUAUAUGCAUUCCAUGUUCAAGUACGAAGUAGCUGUUUUCUUGGCACUUGGGGACACGUGAUGUCCUUUUCUCUUUCAUUUCUUUAAUGUUUGAAUAUUGUGUGGAGUCAUUUUCAUUCUCCUUUCUUCAAUGCCUUGAAAAAGCUUCACAUGUGAGCUUUUUCUCUUUCCUCCAUUUAAUGCAUUGUAAGAAUAUGUGAUGUCCUUUUCAUUCCUUUCUUCAAGACUUUGUGAAGGCUUCACGUAAAGGCUUUUUCUUCUUUCCUUACCUUAAGACAUAAUCAAUUUAUUUAAGACUUGUUUGUUGUUGCCUUUUUUGAAGAUUGACUUUAUAAUCCUUUUAAAUCACAUAAUAGUACAUGUAGCCUUUUGCCUAUGACAUGAUGAGUUGCUUUCAUAAAGUGUUGGGAAGCUUUUCAAGAUGUUGACUAUAGGCACAUGCUAAUAUCAUCAUUACUCGUACCUUUCUUUUGCAUUCUUGUUACUUUUCUUCAAAGACCUUUCUUUAAUCAUUUUUUAAUAGUAUUUUGCCUUUAUUGAAUGAAUCAAACAAUUCAUUCUUUAAUACUAUUCUGCCUUUGUUGAACGAAUUCAAAUAAUUCAUUCUUUUAAUACUAUUAUGCCUUUGUUUAAUGAAUUCAAAUCAGCGAGGAUGCAGAACUGCAGUUUCACCAGAUCGUGAGGCCAUCCUCGGCAUUUUCCAUACUUAGCAUUUAACUCAGAAUUUUCUUCUUUUUCCUUAAUGAAUGAUAACCUGUUUUCUUAUAUAAAUACACUCAAAAGCACAGAUUAGUCAUUAAACUCAAUCAUAAUCUUUUAAUUAAUUUUGUUAUCAUUAAAACCAAUUGAGAGAGAUUUUGUCUCAACAAUCUCCCCCUUUUUGAUGAUGACAAAAUUCUUUAGAUUAUGAUUUUUGUUUUAUGUAAGAAUGAAAUAAUUAAACUCCCCCUCAAUCAUACAAGUGAUAUUUUUGAAAUUAUGCAAUAUUGAGGUAAAUAGAACAUUCAUAAACACCUAAAAUAAAUUCCAGCAACUUAAGCAAAAUACCAUAGGUUCAUGAAUUCAGCCAUAACAUCCAGCAAACAUAAUUUGAGUUUAAACAACCAUAACAUCAGUCAGCAAAACAUAAUAUGAGUUUAAACAUGCUAUCAACAUAAGACAAAAUAUAAUACAUAAUCUGACUCCCCCUGAAUUAAGUCAACAUAAAAAAGUAUCUAAAAAAUUUAAAACAGAGUCAUUCAGCGGAAGAUGAAUCUUCAGAUGAUGAUGUAGAGUCGGGGUCAAAAGAGAACUGGGCCGGUAGCACAAGAGGUUGAUCAUUGGCAGCAGCUGAUGAACCCAAAUGUUUGGUAACCCAUUCCCGAAUGAGUCCAAACUGAGUGAUGGUUUUUUGAAAGUGAGAAAAGUUAACCAACAAUUUCUUUUGGUAUUUCCUAAUGGUCUUUAGAAGCUUUAAAAACCUUUUGUUAUCAGUUCCUGCCGAUUUCAUGCUUGUGGUUGAGUCAUCACGUGCCCUUUUGGAUUUUGAACUUUUAGCCUUAUCCUUGGAGAAAUUUUCAAAAUGUGGAGCCAAAUGAGAUUUGGAUUUUUCUUGUAAAUCCGGAUCAAAAUUAGAUGGAGCAAUAUUUGGAGAGAUAGGAGAAGAGUUCAGACUUACUUGAGAUGGUAAUGUGGAUUCUUCUGCAUGCAUGUUCCUAUGAGGGCAAGAAUGGUGAUCAUAUGAUACGUUCAGAUCAAAGAAUAAAUCUUCACCAUCCUUAACUAAAGGAGCGGCAGUGUGUGGUGAUAGAUUAUUACUGACUUGUGGAGAUUGAGGAAAUGUUGAGCCCGCAGAGUUAAAUGAGGGGGUGCGAGAAUGAGAUAGUGGAGAUGCUGACUUUUGUUUCUUUGAGGCAGUUUUCUUCUUCCUUGAGGUGGGGGUUUGUUCAGGCAGAUCAAUGCGCAUUUGUUUGAUAUUUUUCAUAGAAAAGAAAUUAUUGCACUAAAUACUCUCUUCAUCAUCAAGGGGUACCUUAAAGAACUUAAAGAUUUUGGUCAAGAUCAUCCCAUAGGGAGCUGAUCGACCCACAAUGGCAGCAUUCAACAUGUAGCUAAAUAUGAUAUUGCCCAUAUGAAGGGGUGUUCCAGUCAACAGAUGAUGAAUAAUCAGAAUAUCAAGUUCGGUUACCUUUUCAUAACUCCCAGCUCGAGGCACUAUCGAGUGAACACAAAUGUUGUGAUAAAUCCGACACAUAGGAGGAAGGUUUGAGGCUAUGAGAGGUUUAUGAGGAUCGAUCAUGAUAUUUUGAAGAACUGAAGUUCGAGUGACCAUAUACUGCAUAUACCAAGUUUCAGCAAAACAGUGGGCUCCAGCAUCUUGUAUGUCAAGGAUUUUGCAUAGUGAAGUGGGGUUUACGUCCAAGUGUACUCCCUUAAGCACAAAACUGAAACCAGAGCUUCCUUUGCAGCCAUUGCAUGCAGCAUAGAAUGCCUUUACCAGCCGUGGGUAUUGCGGUUCAUUCACUCUAAAAAAGGAGGUCCAUCCUAACUUAUCAAAUACUUCUACAACAUUAAAGCUACCAUUUUUCAAAUUGAUUAGGUCAAUGUGCUUGCCAUGAACCACAGAUUUGUUAAACCAUCUUGAGGUGUAAUUUAACUCUGAAUCUGUGGAGUCAAAAAGAGGAACAAGAGUUGGUUUGGAUGAACGAGAUUUCUUUGGAGUCGGUUUACCUUGUUCAGAUGAUUUGGUUUUUGACCUUUUUGGAGUGGAAGGUUUGGAGGAUGAUUUAGGGAUCGAUUUAGCCGAGGUAUUUCCUUUGGAAUCGUCCGAAUCAAUCACAUGCACAGUAGAGUCUUGAGUAACCUUUUUGUUUGAAUGGACAACCCCAGAUUGAACUCUUGAAGAUCGUCUGAUUGAGGCAGUGAGUUUUGACGAUGAGGGCUUUUUGGUUUUUUGAGAAGGAGGUUGAGGAGGUUCCCUAGGAGGAGAUACUGACUUUUGUUUUAUUCCUUGUCCAGCGGAUUCAGAACUUGAGUAGUUUUGUGAGUCAGUUUCUGGAUCAAAAGGAGACAUUUUUUGCUUGACAGUAGUUUUGAUGCGUGCCAUUUUUGUUUAGAGGAAGAAAACGGACGAGAAUGAGAUUCGUAGUGAAGAGAGAGAGAAAGGGAAACUGAAUAACUUGGGAGAGAGAACCGUAUGGAAGAGAGAGAGAGAGAGAGAGAAAAAAUUAAACACAGAGAAAGAAUGAAUUAAAACGGAGAGAAUGAAUUUGAACGGAAAAAGAAAUUAAUAAAAACGGAAAGAGAAAAAUUAAAUGAGAGAGAGAGAGAUGUGAGUGGGAAGUUGAAAACGUGAGAGAGAGGGAAAAAAACUGAUUGAUUGAUGGAGAGAGAAAAAAAAAUCAGAAACGUGAGAGAGAGAGAGAGAGAGAGAGAGAGAGAGAGGAGACAUGAGCCGUUGAUGAUGCGUGAUGAUGAUGGAUAGGGAAUCAUGAUGGACUGCAUUUAAUGUAGUAUGCUCAUUUAUGAGGAAUGAGAAGUAUCCAACACGUGCCAACCAUUUGACCAAUGGAUAAAAGGAGGCAUGCGCAUGGCCUUGACUGAUUUAUCAAGAGGAAGUUUCACCUAAAAGUGCCUAAAGUCUUCCUAUCUAAUUUUUUGACUUUAUUUGAGGGAUCAGAUUUGCCAUAUAUUUGCCACACAAAAUUAAAAUAAUAAAAGUCAAAAAUAACAUUAAAAAUAACAAAUAAUAAAAAAUAAAAUUAAAUAAAAAAUAACAGAAUUAAAUUAUUUAAAUAACUUUGGGAAAAUUUAUGAUGGAGAGUUCUUCUAAGAUGAAUUUAAACCGAUCCUCCUGGAGAGGUUUGGUAAAAAUAUCAGCCAAUUGAUUUUCAGUGUCAAUGAAAAUUAAUUAUAUAUCACCCUUUUGAACAUGAUCUCUUAUAAAAUGAUGUUUAAUUUCAAUAUGCUUAGAUCUUGAAUGUUGAAUGGGAUUUUUAGAAAGAUUAAUGGCACUUGUAUUAUCACAGAGGAUGAGAAUUUUUGUGUACCUUAAAGAGUAAUCUUCUAGUUGAUUCUUUAUCUAUAGAAGUUGUGAGCAACAUUGAGCAGCUGAUACAUAUUCAACCUCUUUAGUUGAAAGAGCAAUAGUACUUUGUUUUUUGCAUGACCAACUUAUUAGAGAUUUACCCAGAAGUUGGCAAGUUCCGCUUGUGCUUUUCCUUUCAACUUUAUCUCUAGCAUAAUCGGCAUCACAAUAAGCAAUGCGAUCAAGAUUUGAGCAUUUUUUGUACCAAAUUCCCAGAUUAAUAGUGCCCACAAGAUAUCUAAAAAUCCUUUUUACUGCAGUAAGAUGAGACUCUUUAGGAGAAGAUUGAAAUCUUGCACAAAGACCGACUGCAAAGACUAUGUCUGGUCUACUGGCUGUUAAAUAUAACAAGGAUCCAAUCAUCCCUUUAUACUCUUUUUUCAGAUAUUGGAGUUCCUUCAUCAUCUUUGUGGAGUAUCGAGGAUGGAUGCAUAGGAGUUCCCAUACUUUUGGCUGAACUCAUUUUGUAUUUGUUGAGUAGAUCCUUGGUGUAUUUUUCUUGAGAUAUGAAGAUACCAUCAUCUCGUUGUUUAAUUUGCAAACCAAGGAAGAAUUUUAAUUCUCCCAUCAUACUCAUCUCAAACUCACUUUGCAUGAGAUUGGAGAAAUCUUUGCACAUUACUUCAUUUGUUGAUCCAAAUAUUAUGUCAUCGACAUAAAUUUGAACAAUCAAUAAAUCUUUCUCAUGAGUCUUCUUGAAAAGAGUUGUAUCAAUUUGACCCUUAAUGAAUCCAUUCUCUUUUAGAAAAGAGCUUAACCUCUCAUACCAAGCUCGAGGAGCUUGCUUUAAGCCAUAAAGAGCUUUUGAGAGUUUGAACACAUGAUUCGGCCUCUUCAUAUCUUCAAAACCAAGAGGUUGACGAACAUACACUUCUUCAUUUAAGAACCCAUUCAAAAAGGCAUUUUUGACAUCCAUUUGAAAUAGUUUUAUACCUUUAUGAGUAGCAUAAGCUAAGAGGAUUCUUAUUGCUUCUAGUCUUGCUACGGGUGCAAACGUUUCAUCAUAAUCAAUUCCUUCUUGUUGAUUGUACCCUUGUGCCACUAGUCUUGCUUUAUUUCUAAUGACUUCUCCAUCCUCAUUUAGUUUGUUUCUAAAUAUCCAUUUAGUCCCAAUAAUGGAUUUAUCCGGAGGAUGGGGUACAAGAUUUCAUACCUUGUUUCUUUCAAAUUGUGAAAGUUCUUCCAUCAUAGCUUCAACCCAUGAUUUGUCACCAAUAGCUUGAUCAAUCAUUUUGGGUUCAACUUGUGAUAUCAUGGCCAUGUUGGUAGUGUUUUCCCUUAGAGAAUUUCUGGUUAUAACACCAUCUUCAGUAUUCCCAAUGAUUAGAUCUGGAGGAUGAUGUGUGACUGUUCUCCAUCCUCUUGGAGGUUGCUGUGAGGUUGGGUCAGACUCAUCCUCAUCAUGAGGACCGGGUACUCGAGAGGGUGAAGGUUCAUCUUCUUCAUUUUUAUCCAUUUUUUCUAAACACAAAUUAUCAAACUCAUCAAAAAUAAUAUGCAUGGAUUCCUCCACAGUUUGAGUCUUAAGAUUAUAUAUUCUAUAACCUGUUGACGUUGUGGAGUAUCCUAGAAAAAUUCCUUUAUCAGAUUUUGGAUCAAACUUUCGCAAAUUUUGUUUAUUAUUGAGAAUGUAGCAAUAACACCCAAAAAUAUGAAAAUAAGAAAUAUUUGGUUUUCUCCCUUUCCAUAACUCGUAUGGAGUUUUGUUUAAAUUUUUUCUAAUGGAUGCACGAUUAGAAACAUAACAAGCAGUGUUAAUGGCUUCGGCCCAAAAAUAUUUUUUAAUAUUGGCUUCAUUUAAAAUGGUUAUAGCCAUUUCUUGUAAAGUUCUAUUUUUCCUUUCAACAACCCCAUUUUGUUGGGGAGUACUUGGACAAGAAAAGUUGUGAGAAAUACCGUUUUCAUUACAAAGAUUUUUAAAGGAUUCAUUUUCAAAUUCACCCCCAUGGUCACUUCUUACAGAGACAAUUUUUGAUCCAUUUUCGUUUUGAACCUUUUUGCAAAAAUGGUGGAACGCCUCAAAGACUUCAUCUUUAUGUUUCAAAAAUAAAACACAAGUAAAACGAGAAAAAUCAUCAACAAUGACAAAGCCAUAUCUUUUACCACUAAGACUUGGAGUUUUGAAAUAAUAAAAUUUUAAAAAAUAUUUAAAAUGAAAAAUUAUUUUCAAAAACUUAUCAUAUAGAAAAAUAAACAAUUUUUACAAUAUUUAAAUAUUUAAAUUAUUGAAUCUUAAAUUUGUUUUAGUCGGUAAAAAAUGCAUCCAAAAUAACUUGUUUUAUUUUGAAUUAAAUUUUAGUGUAAUUAAUUUUACAAAUAUAAAACUAAAAUCAUAAUUUUGAAAAUUUAUAAAUGUUAGUAAAAAGAUAUUUAUCUCAAAUGAACCCGAUAUAUUUGUAUUCCCUCGAUUGAGAGCAUAUUUCCUCCUUCCAUGUUGAUUUGGUAAGUGCUAUGUAACUGAUCUUGACUAUUAAGUUUCCACCCAAUGGCCUUUCACUCAGUCACUCUCCCUAAGCCUCCAAAAUAAACCAAUUAUUUUAUAGUUUGACUCCUUAACUUAAUUUUGAUCUUUUAAUAGUUUUUUUUUAUUAUGUUUUGGAUCCUUAAUUUUACUUUUGUUAGUUAUAUUAGUCUUUUCUAUUUUCUUUUUAAAAUGAAUUAUUUUUGUUAGUUUUCAUCCCAAAAUAUUAAUGAAAUAAAACAAAAAAUAAGUUUUUUAGUUUUUUUAGUUUGACUUUUGUAAGUCAAAAUUACCUUUUAUUUAUUUACCUUAAAUGAUAUGUAAAUCAAAAUUAAUGAAACGAAAUCUAACAAAAAGACUUAACAUUGAUAUUACUAUUAAAAAUAAAGUCAAGGAAACAAAAAUGAAUAAAAAAAGAAUUAAGAAAUUAACAUGAAAAUACAAAAUAAGUUAAAGGUCUAAAUAUUUAAUUUAUUUGGUUUCAAUUGCAUUAAAUAUAUUUAAAUACCAAUAAACUCAUAAAACCUUCCCUAUAAAACCCCCUCUCAUUCCUCUUCAAAAUCAUCACUCAACACACAUACCAACCAAGAGAAUAAGCACAAUCUAAAAGCCAUUAAUUAAUUAGCACAUCUUAAUUAUUAUUCCAAAUGGCUUCAAAAAUUGCUAUUCUCCUUUCCAUCAACAUCCUAUUUUUCACUAUGGUUACCUCAACUAAUGUUUGUCCUCCAUCACCCCCUAAAGUUCAAAAACCACCCCAACCACCUUCCACAAAACCCCCCCAACAACCUUCCCCAAAAUCCCCCCAACAACCUUCCCCAAAAUCCCCCCAACCACCUUCCCCAAAAUCCCCAACUUGUCCUAUAGACACACUUAAGUUUGGUGUGUGUGCUGAUUUAUUGGGUGUGGUUCAUAUUAUAAUUGGUAAGUCACAAUGUUGUUCACUCAUUAAUGGUCUUGCUAAUCUUGAAGCUGCUGUGUGCCUUUGCACUGCCCUUAAAGCUAAUGUGUUGGGAAUCAACCUUAAUAUUCCUAUUAACUUGAGCUUGAUACUUAACGAUUGUGGAAAGGGUGUUCCAAAGGGCUUCGUAUGCGCUUAAUUACUAAUUAGAGACACCACUUCAUUAUAUAGUGUGUGGAUUUUGUACUCUUUGCUACUUAAUUGUCAUUUUCUUAUGAAUAAUACUUUGUAAUGGUUUGAAAUUGCUAUGAAUAAUAUCAUUGUCG
RNAcentral lists this long non-coding RNA (10247 nucleotides) under Cicer arietinum (chickpea). RNAcentral's name for it is "long non-coding RNA (CARI_LNC003636)". The record is from RNAcentral. Lineage: Eukaryota; Viridiplantae; Streptophyta; Magnoliopsida; Fabales; Fabaceae.